Molecule: non-coding RNA, 609 nt
Organism: Diceros bicornis minor
Lineage: Eukaryota; Metazoa; Chordata; Mammalia; Perissodactyla; Rhinocerotidae
Source: the annotation of a RefSeq genome assembly
CAAGUCAUGACACUCGUCACCUCAAGGUUCAGUUAACUAUAUCUUGUGAAAAUGUCCCCAGCAACAAGGCAGAGCGUCAUGAAGAGGCUGCUGGGCACUGUGCUGGGGCUUUUGUGCACCCAGGUUUGCUGUGUGAGGGGUGCUCAGGUGGAGCAGAGUCCCCCAACCCUGAGUCUCCAGGAGGGAACCAGUUCCACACUGCGGUGCAAUUUUUCCAUCUCUGUAAACAGCGUGCAGUGGUUUCGCCAAAAUCCUGGGGGCCACCUCAUCAGCCUGUUUUACAUUUCUUCAGGGACCAAGCAGAAUGGAAGAUUAAAGGCUACGAUAGUCACCAAAGAACGCCACAGCUCAUUGUAUAUUUCCUCUUCCCAGACCACAGACUCAGCCACUUAUUUCUGUGCUGUGGAGCCACAGUGCUCCCCAGGCAUCUGCAGCCUGUACACAAACCCUCAGCUGGGCUCAACUCCUCCUCCAACCACAAUCACAUCACAAGGCCACCACACAGCAUUUGCACAGCUUAAUAUUGCUAACCCAAAUUGGUAGGGUUUUAACCAUAGUUACUUUUUGGCCCUACAAGUCUGGGACUUUGGUCCUUUAUCUUCACUUCUC